CCUCACUUAGCUUAGCCUGGCCAGAGCGGCUGACUGUAGAUCAGCAGAUCCCCUGUUCAAAUCAGGGAGUGGGGACCA
This 78-nucleotide transfer RNA is filed under the name Thermoplasmatales archaeon. RNAcentral's name for it is "tRNA-Tyr". It matches the Rfam family "tRNA". From Rfam's summary of the family: Transfer RNA (tRNA) molecules are approximately 80 nucleotides in length. The record is from RNAcentral. RNAcentral also lists the same sequence under 1 other name. Lineage: Archaea; Methanobacteriati; Thermoplasmatota; Thermoplasmata; Thermoplasmatales.